GGGCUUCGGCCUGGUGGCGAGUGGCGAACGGGUGAGUAAUGCGUCGGAACGUGCCGAGUAAUGGGGGAUAACGCAUCGAAAGGUGUGCUAAUACCGCAUACGCUCUGAGGAGGAAAGCGGGGGACCUUCGGGCCUCGCGUUAUUCGAGCGGCCGACGUCUGAUUAGCUAGUUGGUGGGUAAAGGCUCACCAAGGCGACGAUCAGUAGCGGGUCUGAGAGGAUGAUCCGCCACACUGGGACUGAGACACGGCCCAGACUCCUACGGGAGGCAGCAGUGGGGAAUUUUGGACAAUGGGCGAAAGCCUGAUCCAGCCAUGCCGCGUGAGUGAAGAAGGCCUUCGGGUUGUAAAGCUCUUUUGUCCGGGAGGAAAUCCCGCAACCUAAUACGUUGCGGGGAUGACAGUACUGGAAGAAUAAGCACCGGCUAACUACGUGCCAGCAGCCGCGGUAAUACGUAGGGUGCAAGCGUUAAUCGGAAUUACUGGGCGUAAAGCGUGCGCAGGCGGUUUGAUAAGUCAGAUGUGAAAUCCCCGGGCUUAACCUGGGAACUGCGUUUGAAACUGUCAGGCUAGAGUACGUCAGAGGGGGGUGGAAUUCCACGUGUAGCAGUGAAAUGCGUAGAGAUGUGGAGGAACACCGAUGGCGA
RNAcentral lists this ribosomal RNA (646 nucleotides) under uncultured bacterium. RNAcentral describes it as "bacterial SSU rRNA". It matches the Rfam family "Bacterial small subunit ribosomal RNA", at positions 75 to 718 of the family's 1533-position model. The record is from RNAcentral.